Molecule: transfer RNA, 75 nt
Filed under: Buchnera aphidicola (Therioaphis trifolii)
Lineage: Bacteria; Pseudomonadati; Pseudomonadota; Gammaproteobacteria; Enterobacterales; Erwiniaceae
Description: tRNA-His
Rfam family: tRNA
About the family: Transfer RNA (tRNA) molecules are approximately 80 nucleotides in length. Their secondary structure includes four short double-helical elements and three loops (D, anti-codon, and T loops).
Source: RNAcentral
GUGACUAUAGCUCAGUUGGUAGAGUUCUGGAUUGUGGUUCCAGAUGUCAUGGGUUCGAAUCCCAUUAGUCACCCA